CGCGUAGGCGGGCUUUCAAGUCGGUUGUGAAAUCCCUCAGCUCAACUGAGGAACUGCAUCCGAUACUGUUUGUCUUGAGGACGAGAGGGGAGAGUGGAACUUCUGGUGGAGCGGUGAAAUGCGUAGAUAUCAGAAGGAACGCCGGUGGCGAAAGCGACUCUCUGGCUCGUAUCUGACGCUGAGGCGCAAGGCUUGGUAAGCAAACG
Molecule: ribosomal RNA, 206 nt
Filed under: uncultured bacterium
Lineage: Bacteria
Description: partial 16S ribosomal RNA
Rfam family: Bacterial small subunit ribosomal RNA
Source: RNAcentral